Molecule: ribosomal RNA, 253 nt
Filed under: uncultured bacterium
Lineage: Bacteria
Description: partial 16S ribosomal RNA
Rfam family: Bacterial small subunit ribosomal RNA
Source: RNAcentral
UACGUAGGGUGCAGGCGUUAAUCGGAAUUACUGGGCGUAAAGCGUGCGUAGGCGGUUUCUUAAGUCAGAUGUGAAAGCCCCGGGCUUAACCUGGGAACUGCGUUUGAAACUGGGAGACUUGAGUGUGGCAGAGGGGGGUGGAAUUCCACGUGUAGCAGUGAAAUGCGUAGAUAUGUGGAGGAACACCGAUGGCGAAGGCAGCCCCCUGGGUUAACACUGACGCUCAUGCACGAAAGCGUGGGGAGCAAACAGG